UGCGAUUUUACUUCGUAGGAUCAUUUCUAUAGUGAACCGUCUCAUCUGGAACUCUGACCAGAGCCACAGAUUCUCCAACCUGGGGGAUGACCAUUAUCUCCUCGAGACCCAAGAGUGAAGCCGUUUAGCCCCUGCUUCGGCGGCGGUGGUGAUGAUCUUAACCCAAAUUCCCGUUAUCUUUUACUCUUCGGGGUAUGAUAGAUGGUGAGGGUGGGCCUUGAUGGAAGUCUGGCAGGU
This 237-nucleotide small nucleolar RNA is filed under the name Tuber melanosporum Mel28. Its description in RNAcentral is "fungal small nucleolar RNA U3". It matches the Rfam family "Fungal small nucleolar RNA U3". From Rfam's summary of the family: Small nucleolar RNAs (snoRNAs) are involved in the processing and modification of rRNA in the nucleolus. There are two main classes of snoRNAs: the box C/D class, and the box H/ACA class. U3 snoRNA is a member of the box C/D class. The record is from Rfam by way of RNAcentral. Lineage: Eukaryota; Fungi; Ascomycota; Pezizomycetes; Pezizales; Tuberaceae.